AUCCGUUAAAUAACGAUGGUAACGAUAACGAUAACCUAAAAAAACCUUUAAAUAACAGCCGUUACGUAACGUAGUAAUCUUUAUUUAAAAACAUUCUUUAAAUACUAAAGUCCCAUUACCAUCAGCCCAUUUAAAUACCAAUAAAAGCCUAAAUAAUAAAUUACUAAAAAUCCCCAUUUAAAUACUAAUAAAAGGCAUCCACCACUUAGAAGCCUACAUUUCAUUGAGGAGCACGAGGCAGUCGUUAACCAGGAACGUCUCUUCUUCUUUUUCUUUUUCUU
This 281-nucleotide unclassified non-coding RNA is filed under the name Hevea brasiliensis (rubber tree). Lineage: Eukaryota; Viridiplantae; Streptophyta; Magnoliopsida; Malpighiales; Euphorbiaceae. The record is from RNAcentral.